Molecule: ribosomal RNA, 835 nt
Filed under: Salmonella enterica
Lineage: Bacteria; Pseudomonadati; Pseudomonadota; Gammaproteobacteria; Enterobacterales; Enterobacteriaceae
Description: partial 23S ribosomal RNA
Rfam family: Bacterial large subunit ribosomal RNA
Source: RNAcentral
CGCGAUACAGGGUGACAGCCCCGUACACAAAAGCGCAUGUGCUGUGAGCUCGAUGAGUAGGGCGGGACACGUGGUAUCCUGUCUGAAUAUGGGGGGACCAUCCUCCAAGGCUAAAUACUCCUGACUGACCGAUAGUGAACCAGUACCGUGAGGGAAAGGCGAAAAGAACCCCGGCGAGGGGAGUGAAAAAGAACCUGAAACCGUGUACGUACAAGCAGUGGGAGCACAGGUUUACCUGUGUGACUGCGUACCUUUUGUAUAAUGGGUCAGCGACUUAUAUUCUGUAGCAAGGUUAACCGUAUAGGGGAGCCGAAGGGAAACCGAGUCUUAACCGGGCGUUAAGUUGCAGGGUAUAGACCCGAAACCCGGUGAUCUAGCCAUGGGCAGGUUGAAGGUUGGGUAACACUAACUGGAGGACCGAACCGACUAAUGUUGAAAAAUUAGCGGAUGACCUGUGGCUGGGGGUGAAAGGCCAAUCAAACCGGGAGAUAGCUGGUUCUCCCCGAAAGCUAUUUAGGUAGCGCCUCGUGAAUUCAUCUCCGGGGGUAGAGCACUGUUUCGGCUAGGGGGCCAUCCCGGCUUACCAACCCGAUGCAAACUGCGAAUACCGGAGAAUGUUAUCACGGGAGACACACGGCGGGUGCUAACGUCCGUCGUGAAGAGGGAAACAACCCAGACCGCCAGCUAAGGUCCCAAAGUCAUGGUUAAGUGGGAAACGAUGUGGGAAGGCCCAGACAGCCAGGAUGUUGGCUUAGAAGCAGCCAUCAUUUAAAGAAAGCGUAAUAGCUCACUGGUCGAGUCGGCCUGCGCGGAAGAUGUAACGGGGCUAAACCAU